This 301-nucleotide ribosomal RNA is filed under the name uncultured bacterium. RNAcentral describes it as "partial 16S ribosomal RNA". It matches the Rfam family "Bacterial small subunit ribosomal RNA", at positions 509 to 807 of the family's 1533-position model. The record is from RNAcentral.
CAGUCGCCACGGGAAUACGCAGGUGGCGAGCGUUGUCCGGAAUUAUUGGGCGUAAAGGGCGUGUAGGCGGCCUGGGGCGUCCCAUGUGAAAGGCCACGGCUCAACCGUGGAGGAGCGUGGGAUACGCUCAGGCUAGAGGGUGGGAGAGGGUGGUGGAAUUCCCGGAGUAGCGGUGAAAUGCGUAGAGAUGUGGAGGAAUACCGAUGGCGAAGGCGACUCUCUGGUCUGUAACUGACGCUGAGGAGCGAAAGCGUGGGGAGCGAACAGGAUUAGAGACCCCCGUAGUCCCUGUCUCUUAUAC